ACGAACGCUGGCGGCGUGCUUAACACAUGCCAGUCGCACGGAAAGGCCCUGCUUUUGUGGGGUGCUCGAGUGGCGAACGGGUGAGUAACACGUGAGUAACCUGCCCUUGACUUUGGGAUAACUUCAGGAAACUGGGGCUAAUACCGGAUAGGAGCUCCUGCUGCAUGGUGGGGGUUGGAAAGUUUCGGCGGUUGGGGAUGGACUCGCGGCUUAUCAGCUUGUUGGUGGGGUAGUGGCUUACCAAGGCUUUGACGGGUAGCCGGCCUGAGAGGGUGACCGGCCACAUUGGGACUGAGAUACGGCCCAGACUCCUACGGGAGGCAGCAGUGGGGAAUAUUGCACAAUGGGCGGAAGCCUGAUGCAGCAACGCCGCGUGCGGGAUGACAGCCUUCGGGUUGUAAACCGCUUUCGCCUGUGACGAAGCGUGAGUGACGGUAAUGGGUAAAGAAGCACCGGCUAACUACGUG
Molecule: ribosomal RNA, 467 nt
Filed under: uncultured bacterium
Lineage: Bacteria
Description: partial 16S ribosomal RNA
Rfam family: Bacterial small subunit ribosomal RNA
Source: RNAcentral